GACAGAUGGGAGCUUGCUCCCUGAUGUUAGCGGCGGACGGGUGAGUAACACGUGGGUAACCUGCCUGUAAGACUGGGAUAACUCCGGGAAACCGGGGCUAAUACCGGAUGGUUGUUUGAACCGCAUGGUUCAAACAUAAAAGGUGGCUUCGGCUACCACUUACAGAUGGACCCGCGGCGCAUUAGCUAGUUGGUGAGGUAACGGCUCACCAAGGCAACGAUGCGUAGCCGACCUGAGAGGGUGAUCGGCCACACUGGGACUGAGACACGGCCCAGACUCCUACGGGAGGCAGCAGUAGGGAAUCUUCCGCAAUGGACGAAAGUCUGACGGAGCAACGCCGCGUGAGUGAUGAAGGUUUUCGGAUCGUAAAGCUCUGUUGUUAGGGAAGAACAAGUACCGUUCGAAUAGGGCGGUACCUUGACGGUACCUAACCAGAAAGCCACGGCUAACUACGUGCCAGCAGCCGCGGUAAUACGUAGGUGGCAAGCGUUGUCCGGAAUUAUUGGGCGUAAAGGGCUCGCAGGCGGUUUCUUAAGUCUGAUGUGAAAGCCCCCGGCUCAACCGGGGAGGGUCAUUG
Molecule: ribosomal RNA, 577 nt
Filed under: Bacillus subtilis
Lineage: Bacteria; Bacillati; Bacillota; Bacilli; Caryophanales; Bacillaceae
Description: bacterial SSU rRNA
Rfam family: Bacterial small subunit ribosomal RNA
Source: RNAcentral